GACGAACGCUGGCGGCGUGCUUAACACAUGCAAGUCGAGCGGUAAGGCUCCUUCGGGAGUACACGAGCGGCGAACGGGUGAGUAACACGUGGGUGACCUGCCCUCAGCUCUGGGAUAAGCCUGGGAAACCGGGUCUAAUACUGGAUAUGACUCCAUGACGCAUGUUGUGGGGUGGAAAGCCUUGUGCGGCUGAGGAUGGGCCCGCGGCCUAUCAGCUUGNGGUGGGGUGAUGGCCUACCAAGGCGACGACGGGUAGCCGGCCUGAGAGGGCGACCGGCCACACUGGGACUGAGACACGGCCCAGACUCCUACGGGAGGCAGCAGUGGGGAAUCUUGCGCAAUGGGCGAAAGCCUGACGCAGCGACGCCGCGUGAGGGAUGAC
This 382-nucleotide ribosomal RNA is filed under the name uncultured bacterium. RNAcentral's name for it is "bacterial SSU rRNA". It matches the Rfam family "Bacterial small subunit ribosomal RNA", at positions 28 to 412 of the family's 1533-position model. The record is from RNAcentral.